RNAcentral lists this long non-coding RNA (224 nucleotides) under Vombatus ursinus (common wombat). RNAcentral's name for it is "lncRNA (ENSVURG00010003401.1)". Lineage: Eukaryota; Metazoa; Chordata; Mammalia; Diprotodontia; Vombatidae. The record is from RNAcentral.
AGCUUCGGCAAUCAGAUCCCGGCCUCUGUUAACUAAUGAGAACAGGGCCUCUGAAUGGCUGACGCUCAUCAAGACACCAGCCCCGAGGAGGGCGAGAACCGUGGGGUGGAGAGUCAGAGGCCUGCACUAGCCUGCCUGGUUGCAGUGGGACCAGCUCUGCUCUUGGAGUUCAGAAGAUCCGGACCUGAGUCAGUUGGGUGACAUUGGGCAAGCCCCUUAACCAC